ACGCACGCUGGCGGCGUGCUUAACACAUGCAAGUCGAACGGAAAGGCCCUGCUUUUGUGGGGUGCUCGAGUGGCGAACGGGUGAGUAACACGUGAGUCACCCGCCCUUGACUUUGGGAUAACUUCAGGAAACUGGGGCUAAUACCGGAUAGGAGCUCCUGCUGCCUGGUGGGGGUUGGAAAGUUUCGGCGGUUGGGGAUGGACUCGCGGCUUAUCAGCUUGUUGGUGGGGUAGUGGCUUACCAAGGCUUUGACGGGUAGCCGGCCUGAGAGGGUGACCGGCCACAUUGGGACUGAGAUACGGCCCAGACUCCUACGGGAGGCAGCAGUGGGGAAUAUUGCACAAUGGGCGGAAGCCUGAUGCAGCAACGCCGCGUGCGGGAUGACGGCCUUCGGGUUGUAAACCGCUUUCGCCUGUGACGAAGCGUGAGUGACGGUAAUGGGUAAAGAAGCACCGGCUAACUACGUG
RNAcentral lists this ribosomal RNA (467 nucleotides) under uncultured bacterium. Its description in RNAcentral is "partial 16S ribosomal RNA". It matches the Rfam family "Bacterial small subunit ribosomal RNA", at positions 29 to 507 of the family's 1533-position model. The record is from RNAcentral.